UCUCACAUAGAGAGCCAUCCUGUGUUCGCACUUGUUUUUUAGGAUCCACAAUGAUAACAUCACGAUCAGGCAACGACGAUCUGUAGCUAUCAGUGACUCCAAGCACCUGUGGAAGCUAAUGAAAUACAAAAACCUAAUAAACUAUAAACUAAUUGUAUCAUGAAAGUCAUUGUAACUUGAAAUCAAUGUUUAGUUUUGCACUUCAUAAACUAUAGGCUAUCGACCUUUAACACCAAUUAGAAAUCUCCUAGUAUCUUCAACCCAGAUCCCCAAAUCUAGAAAUCCCCUUCCUUAGGGAGAUAGGGGAAGUAGCGGCACAAAACAAGAGACUAACUUGAUU
RNAcentral lists this long non-coding RNA (340 nucleotides) under Setaria viridis. RNAcentral's name for it is "long non-coding RNA (SVIR_LNC010643)". Lineage: Eukaryota; Viridiplantae; Streptophyta; Magnoliopsida; Poales; Poaceae. The record is from RNAcentral.